Molecule: long non-coding RNA, 3109 nt
Organism: Callithrix jacchus (white-tufted-ear marmoset)
Lineage: Eukaryota; Metazoa; Chordata; Mammalia; Primates; Cebidae
Source: RefSeq, a predicted model, not a curated record
CGCCCACCUGGCAGCCACGCCCACUUUCUCGGGGCCGCGCUCAGGCCUUCCUCAACUCUCGCGAGACGUGGCGUCCCAGGGCCCGCAGAAGAGUGGUGUCCUCCUGGUGCUGAGCUGUUCCCUGCCCUGAGGCUGGAGUGCAGUGGCUAUUCAAAGGUAUAAUCGUAGGUCUGCAGCCUCGAAGUCCUGGACUCAAGCCGUCUUCUUGCUUCAGCUGGGACUAACAGAUGUUUUCAAGGAAAGGACGUUUAAGAUCCUGCCUUGCCCUUUUGUAUGUGUGGCUAAUCCUGGAGUCCGAGAAGGGAAAAAGAAAAAACCUGAAAAAGUCUCAGGUCUUUGCAAGUUGUUGGAUGUAGACAUCAGUUCCAUGCCACGUGGACCUCUCCAUGGGACAUUUUAUAACAUGGCCACUGGCUUCUCUCAGACGGCAGGAUGGAGGAGGGGACAAAACAGGAAGGAUGUAAUUGUGGAGCAUCCAAGGGUCAUGAGAUGAGAACUGAUGCCUGUAUCCUAAUGCAGAGACAGAAAAAUAACCCUUUAAUCAUGAAUUACUGGCUGCUCUGAAUGAACAUGAUUGAGUAGAGGUUCCUCGGGUUGGAGAAGAGAUGAAGAAGUGUACCCAGUCAAUUGUACCCAGGUAACACCAUACACCACUCUGACCAUCACAAACAGCUAUUUGAAUUACUCAGCAAGCUCCCAACUCAUUCUUUCAAAGCAGACCCUCACACUGGCUCAGUAAAAGAAAUCGUUUGCUUAAAGAUGAUCUGGAGAUAAAUUGCUGCAAUUACAGUUCAGAUGCAGAAUAGAAUAUACAGUACUUAUGAGAGAGAAUGACUUUUAUUCCUUUGGGUAUCCUGAUUUGUUGUAACAGUUGUGAAUUGUGAUCUUCCUCUGAUAAUCUCAAUCCAUAGGACAUUUGGGAGGGAUGAUGAGGCUUCCUUGAUUCAGUCAAACUGGACCUAUCUUACAUUUUACUGGAGAAUAUAAUUUUUUUUUUUUUUUUUUUUUGCCUGUGCCUGCACUCCUGUUGUGGUAUUUUGAAAUGGGUUUGUCUACAUUUGCUAGUGGAAAAUAACAGCACAAGGAGAUGUUUGCUUAAAUUAACAUCUCUUCUUCUGCCCUAUCCCUCUGUCUCCCAAAUGCCAUCCCCACAGUAGAAUGACAAAGCAAUGCAGCCAUUCAUAGUACCGAAAGAUUUUGUUGAAGAUAUUUGCAUAUAAAAAGUACUAGACAUUCUCAUAUGGAGAGGACAAUAUUAAACUUCAUAUAUCUUUUAUUACAAAUUACAUUAGCAAUUAUGAUAAUUCAUAUUUCUUUGGAAUGCUUAUAUCUUGUGGGUACAGUUACCUGAAAGGAAAAAGGAUGCAUAUACAUCCUGGUUUUUCUUGAAAUUGGUAGACUUAUUCCACAACAUUUAUGGCUCCAACAUUUAUGGUUCAUUAUCAUUCUUCUUAUACUUUUCUGCCUCUUUAAUAGCAACUGAACUCUGAGGAAAUAAAUGACUUCAGGAUCCUUUUGGCCCUUUCUUAACACUGAAUCUUGAUGUUUGAAAAUAAAAUCUUGAAAUACAUAUUCUGGAUUUUAAUGAUAAGUCUUGAAAUAGCUGUCCACUGUCUUCAUUUCAGCAUCUCAAAUCUUUCAGUGCUAUCUUUUCUUAACUUUUUUUUUUACAAAAUGCAAAGCUAAUAUAGUUUCUCUUCAGUUUUUAGAAAAAUUAACUAAGUUAGCCUCUUUUUACUACACUAAUGGAAAGAUAUUAAAAUUCAGUUGUUUUUUUAAUGAAUGAAUAGACUUUGAAUAUUCCCUUUCCUACGCUAGCUUACAGUUAUUGGUGUAAAGAAGUUCCCACUUGCUGCUUGCAAAUAUGUUUCUACUUGCCAUUUUUAAAUUACUGUUGCCUUUGGAUGUGGGAGAAUGUCUUCCUUUGUCAAAGUGGCAAUAGGAGGCACAAGUGACAAUCCCUUUUCCUUAAGAUUUGGGACUGCACAAAGCUGUCAGUUUUUAAAAUGACACUGUGGCACAGCCUUUCUUUAAGGUGAUGCCUUUCAUUUUUGACUCCUGCUGUUCCUGACAGUUGAAAUGGCAGCAGGAGGUCGAAACUAAAGUAAGUUCUCUUGGCAUUUGCCCUUAGGUAGAAAUUAAUAAUAGAAGAAGCAGGCCUGUGUUUAAAAACAGUUAGUGUCAGAUGUCACGCAAUGGAAUGUGACCAGUCCCCUAAUGAGAUGACCCAAACUGUCCAUAAUUUGCCAGAGCUAAACUUAAUUCUCACACCUGCUUGCAAUGUUAAUCUGUGUUCUUAUACUUAAAGAACAUUCGAUGUGUUCUGGAAUAUUAUGUUCUGCUUCAAGAAUGAUGCCAAAAACUGCAACUGGAUUUUUCACUAAACCCUAAAUUACUUGUCUGCUUUGAAUUUGCUAAAUUAUGCCUUGUUUUUUUUUUUUACUCUGUGUUUCUAAUUUCUGAUGAAUUUAUGUUCACAUUUCUUCCCCCAUACCCAUUAUUCACAUUUUUUUCAUGUAACAGCCUUAUGUGAUAUCAGGUAGCUCUACUGAUUCAACCUAAGCACUAACUGCAUGUUUUUACAGAUUUAUUAUAACUGUAUGGACUCUUCUAGCUCAGUAGUUUAUGUGUUGCUGAAUUUUAUUGCAUCUCUACUUUGUCUGAUGCAUUCUAGUUCUGCACCAUCAGCUGGUUUGUAUAUAGUAUUUGCAAUUCCUUUCUUUGUGGCUGGAUACUCUAUUCCCAGGGCCUGGGAUCUGGACAUACAAUAGAAUUUAAAUGACCCUCUUCCAAAUCCCACUUUGCUAGUUAAAUUCCCAUAUUCAGCUCUGGGAAUAAGCCAGGGCACUUAGCUAUGUGGUUAUGUAUGAGAUACAUUCCAUCUUUUUGCUCAAUAAAUUUUCACGUCAGUUCCUCUGGUAUCUCAAAAAUGCCUUAGCAUGUACUUUAAACUCUUGCACAAUCUCCCUUUCCUUGCCUGAGCUGAUGUAUAUUGAUUUAUUUAUCACUUCCUUAACUUCAUUUUAUAAUCUUUUUAGCUCUCCCAAAUGCCUCUUUCUCAAAUUUGAUUACUUCUUGUUUUUCUUAUAGAUCUAUUUCGGUCCAUUUU